Molecule: long non-coding RNA, 175 nt
Organism: Populus trichocarpa (black cottonwood)
Lineage: Eukaryota; Viridiplantae; Streptophyta; Magnoliopsida; Malpighiales; Salicaceae
Exons: 2
Source: RefSeq, a predicted model, not a curated record
CAUCUUACCUGCGCCUAAGAUGAGGAGCAACAUGGAUACAAAACAAGUUGCACAAAGGUCCUCUCUCGAAGCGCUUCAAAGGAGGAGUCCGAAACGGGAAAAAAGUGACAAAAAAUUAAGUAGGAGCAUCAAAAAGAUAAGAGCUGACAUGGUUGAGAUUAGCGAGGGUCAAAAA